GACGAACGCUGGCGGCGUGCUUAACACAUGCAAGUCGAGCGGAAAGGCCCUGCUUUUGUGGGGUGCCCGAGUGGCGAACGGGUGUGUAACCCGUGAGUAACCUGCCCUUGACUUUGGGAUAACUUCAGGCAACUGGGGCUAAUACCGGCUUGGAGCUCCUGCAGCAUGGUGGGGGUUGGACAGCUUAGGCGGUUGGGGAUCGACUGCCGGCUUAUCAGCUUGUUGGGGGGGUAGCGGCUUACGCAGGCAUUGACGGAUAGUCGGCCUGAGAGGGUGACCGGGCACAUUGGGACUGAGAGACGGCCCAGACUCCUACGUGAGGCAGCAGGGGGGAAUAUGGCACAAUGGGCGGGAGCCUGAUGCAGCAACCCCGCGAGCGUGAUGACGGCCUUCGGGUGGUAAACCGCUUUCGCCUGUGACGAUGCGUGUUUGACGGUAAUGAGUGAAGAAGCACCGGCUAACUACGUG
Molecule: ribosomal RNA, 468 nt
Filed under: uncultured bacterium
Lineage: Bacteria
Description: partial 16S ribosomal RNA
Rfam family: Bacterial small subunit ribosomal RNA
Source: RNAcentral